AACCUGGUUGAUCCUGCCAGUAGUCAUACGCUCGUCUCAAAGAUUAAGCCAUGCAUGUGUAAGUUCAAUGAUUUGACCAAAAAACUGCGAAUGGCUCAUUAUAUCAGUUAUAGUUUAUUUGAUAGUCCCUUACUACUUGGAUACCCGUAGUAAUUCUAGAGCUAAUACAUGCGUAAACACUCGACCUUUGGAAGAGUGGUAUUUAUUAGAUUGAAACCAACCCGUUUCGGCGGUGUCCUGGUGAUCCAUAAUAACUUUUCGGAUUGCAUUGCAACAUUUCAUUCAAGUUUCUGCCCUAUCAGCUUUGACGGUAGUGUAUUGGACUACCGUGGCUUUAACGGGUAACGGAGGAUUAGGGUUUGAUUCCGGAGA
RNAcentral lists this ribosomal RNA (372 nucleotides) under uncultured marine eukaryote. RNAcentral's name for it is "SSU rRNA". It matches the Rfam family "Eukaryotic small subunit ribosomal RNA", at positions 1 to 389 of the family's 1831-position model. The record is from RNAcentral.